This 253-nucleotide ribosomal RNA is filed under the name uncultured bacterium. Its description in RNAcentral is "partial 16S ribosomal RNA". It matches the Rfam family "Bacterial small subunit ribosomal RNA", at positions 524 to 776 of the family's 1533-position model. The record is from RNAcentral.
UACAGAGGAUGCAAGCGUUAUCCGGAAUGAUUGGGCGUAAAGCGUCUGUAGGUGGCUUUUUAAGUCCGCCGUCAAAUCCCAGGGCUCAACUCUGGACAGGCGGUGGAAACUACCAAGCUGGAGUACGGUAGGGGCAGAGGGAAUUUCCGGUGGAGCGGUGAAAUGCGUAGAGAUCGGAAAGAACAUCAGUGGCGAAGGCGACUUCCUGGAUUAAUACUGACACUGAGGAGCGAAAGCGUGGGGAGCGAACAGG